AGCAGCCGCGGUAAUUCCAGCUCCAAUAGCGUAUAUUAAAGUUGUUGCAGUUAAAAAGCUCGUAGUUGAAUUUCGGGGUCGAUAGGUUGGUCGUGCCUAUGGUAUGUACUGGCCUUACUGAUUCCUCCUCCUUGUAGAACUGUGAUGCCAUUAAUUUGGUGUUGCAGGGAAACAGGACUGUUACUUUGAAAAAAUUAGAGUGUUUAAAGCAGGCUAACGCUUGAAUACAUUAGCAUGGAAUAAUGAAAUAGGACGUGGAUCCUAUUUUGUUGGUUUCUAGGAUUAACGUAAUGAUUAAUAGGGAUAGUUGGGGGCAUUAGUAUUCAAUUGUCAGAGGUGAAAUUCUUGGAUUUAUUGAAGACUAACUACUGCGAAAGCAUUUGCCAAGGAUGUUUUCAUUAAUCAAGAACGAAAGUUAGGGGAUCGAAGACGAUCAGAUACCGUCGCAGUCUUAACCAUAAACUAUGCCGACUAGGGAUCGGAUGAUGUUAAUUUUUUAAUGACUCAUUCGGCGCCUUAA
RNAcentral lists this ribosomal RNA (520 nucleotides) under uncultured Glomus. RNAcentral's name for it is "SSU rRNA". It matches the Rfam family "Eukaryotic small subunit ribosomal RNA", at positions 569 to 1091 of the family's 1831-position model. The record is from RNAcentral. Lineage: Eukaryota; Fungi; Glomeromycota; Glomeromycetes; Glomerales; Glomeraceae.